Non-coding RNA from Lachnospiraceae bacterium 10-1, 232 nucleotides. The record is from Rfam. NCBI's taxonomy places the organism in Bacteria, Bacillati, Bacillota, Clostridia, Lachnospirales, Lachnospiraceae.
AAAAUCCUGUCGGGAAAGGUUUAAUCAACCGCCCGUACCAAGUCCUUGGAGUCGAAGUGGCAACAUCAGAUUUAAGCAUAGGACAGAGGCAACAGAGCCGAAACGAAAGUGAAGUGAUAGAGCUUGCAAAUUAGUAUGAGGUCGGAAAUGGUCGAUGCGUUUGCGUUCGUAGCAGACAACAUCUCUGUAACCGCUAUGGUGAGGGACAGGGGCAUCCCCCAGUCCGAGAGCU